GCCCCCGUAGCUCAGUUGGAUAGAGCACUCGUUUCCUAAAUGAGGGGUCGCAGGUUCGAACCCUGCCGGGGGCA
RNAcentral lists this transfer RNA (74 nucleotides) under Gemmatimonas phototrophica. It matches the Rfam family "tRNA". From Rfam's summary of the family: Transfer RNA (tRNA) molecules are approximately 80 nucleotides in length. Their secondary structure includes four short double-helical elements and three loops (D, anti-codon, and T loops). Further hydrogen bonds mediate the characteristic L-shaped molecular structure. tRNAs have two regions of fundamental functional importance: the anti-codon, which is responsible for specific mRNA codon recognition, and the 3' end, to which the tRNAs corresponding amino acid is attached (by aminoacyl-tRNA synthetases). tRNAs cope with the degeneracy of the genetic code in two manners: having more than one tRNA (with a specific anti-codon) for a particular amino acid; and 'wobble' base-pairing, i.e. permitting non-standard base-pairing at the 3rd anti-codon position. Lineage: Bacteria; Pseudomonadati; Gemmatimonadota; Gemmatimonadia; Gemmatimonadales; Gemmatimonadaceae. The record is from Rfam by way of RNAcentral.